RNAcentral lists this ribosomal RNA (518 nucleotides) under uncultured bacterium. RNAcentral's name for it is "bacterial SSU rRNA". It matches the Rfam family "Bacterial small subunit ribosomal RNA", at positions 19 to 518 of the family's 1533-position model. The record is from RNAcentral.
CUGGCUCAGACGAACGCUGGCGGCGUGCUUAACACAUGCAAGUCGAACGCGAAAGGGACUUCGGUCCUGAGUAAAGUGGCGCACGGGUGAGUAACGCGUAGAUAACCUGUCUUCAUGUCUGGAAUAAUACGCCGAAAGGGGUACUAAUACCGGAUAUUCUUGCUUUUCAUAAGUUAUGCAAGCAAAGGUGGCCUCUGCAUAUGCUACUGCAUGAAGAGGGGUCUGCGUACCAUUAGCUAGUAGGUGGGGUAAUGGCCUACCUAGGCGACGAUGGUUAGCGGGUCUGAGAGGAUGAUCCGCCACACUGGCACUGGAACACGGGCCAGACUCCUACGGGAGGCAGCAGUGAGGAAUAUUGCGCAAUGGGGGAAACCCUGACGCAGCGACGCCGCGUGAGUGAGGAAGGCCUUCGGGUCGUAAAGCUCUGUCAAGAGGAAAGAAGUGUACAAUGGCUAAUACCUGUUGUAUUUGACGGUACCUCUAAAGGAAGCACCGGCUAACUCCGUGCCAGCCGCCGC